CAAACUGAAAACUACAAGAGGAAGGUGAGAACUUUUCUAAAUAGUUUUCUCCAUGAAUUGGACUAGUUUAUUCCGAUAAUUUCAAAAGUCGCCCAAUUUGGUUCACAUGGAUGGCUGGGCUGGUGCCAUAAAUUAGAUUUACUGCUGCCACUUGUUAAGGUUUCUUUAUCUGGUUAGUGCUCCAUGUCAUUGCUCAAAAAACCAUGUAUUCACCGGAUCUUUGUGUAUUGUGCCCUCAUUUGGUCACAUCGUAUUUAUUUGAUACUCCGUACGUUUAGAUACACAUGGAGAUUAACUUCACUUCAUGACCUGCAUCAUGCAUGGAGAAUAGCAUGAUUUUCCCCAGAUAAUUUCAUUCCAAAUGCAUCUUGUUUCCUUGAGAGGUUUUCCCAAUGACAAUCAGGCUCUGGCACUUAGACAAGCAACAAAAGAGCACUCCCAUAUAUCCCGUCCGUCUAUAGACUGUAACAUGUCUUUUAUAUGUAACCUCUGGCUCUUGUCAUUCGGUGCCUGUUGGUGCACAAUCAUCAGACCUUGCAGCUUGUCCCAUUCGUGUACUAACCAUACAUGCUUUUGCUCCUGAAAUCCCUAUAUAUGUACGCAACACACUCCCCUCUCCCACAGCCUCUAUCCCGACACACUCCACUCUCCCCCUCCCCUUAUCAGAAGAGAAGAGGAGGUUUCUAAAGUCAUGUUUCUAUAUAUUUUAGUAAUUCUGUAAAAUUCCAGAAUACUAUACACCUACUGCUCAAUAUUUUACAAUGUAAUAAAUCAUGGAUGCAUGAUAGAUUUUGUUGAUCUAGAUUGCCUUACGUAAUUUGCUUAGUGGAUCUAUUAUGUUGACUUGCGUCAUUAUUUGUUUGAGUGCUCUAAAAAGUAUUUUCAUUAAACGGUUUCACAAUUCUAUUAAACCAUGUAAGCUAUGAACUAUAUACAUUAUCUGAGACAAUCUUUAGGUGAAAAGAAUAACCAAAAUAUUGUGUAUACCACCACCAUGUAAGAAGAGAAUAUAGACAAGCAUUGCGUAUUACUAGUCAAUGUACAAAGCUAUAUAGCGAUGUACUUCUGCUUGUUACUAGCAAUAUAAAGAGCAUUAUUUUUUCAGGCCUUCCAGUGAGCAGGUGCUAGUAAUCGAUGGCGGCAACGAAAUUGGUAAGAUCCCACUCUCUCACUUGGCCUCUCCCCCCCCCCUCUCUUUAUGUGUGUGCAGUCCGCAGGUUUGAACUAUGCAGUAAGUUUAAUAAUAUCUUUAAAAAAUGUGUGCUGCUUUAAUUCAUGGAAAUAGAGAAGCUCUUGAAGCAGUAAAGUCCUUUAUGUGCAGCAGUUAAUUAAGCUUCAUUAUUGUUUUGUAGUUUUCUAAAAAGUACUUUCAUGAACUGGUUACACAUGUUUUUUAUUUUGAUAG
RNAcentral lists this long non-coding RNA (1405 nucleotides) under Hordeum vulgare. RNAcentral describes it as "long non-coding RNA (HVUL_LNC004508)". The record is from RNAcentral. Lineage: Eukaryota; Viridiplantae; Streptophyta; Magnoliopsida; Poales; Poaceae.